RNAcentral lists this ribosomal RNA (137 nucleotides) under Microcoleus autumnalis UCFM_PAS. Its description in RNAcentral is "Phormidium autumnale UCFM_PAS partial 16S ribosomal RNA". It matches the Rfam family "Bacterial small subunit ribosomal RNA", at positions 1399 to 1533 of the family's 1533-position model. The record is from RNAcentral. Lineage: Bacteria; Bacillati; Cyanobacteriota; Cyanophyceae; Oscillatoriales; Microcoleaceae.
ACACCAUGGAAGUUGGCCACGCCCGAAGUCAUUACUCUAACCUUUCGAGGAGGAGGAUGCCGAAGGCAGGGCUGAUGACUGGGGUGAAGUCGUAACAAGGUAGCCGUACCGGAAGGUGUGGCUGGAUCACCUCCUUU